This is a small nuclear RNA of Cricetulus griseus (Chinese hamster), 109 nucleotides long. NCBI's taxonomy places the organism in Eukaryota, Metazoa, Chordata, Mammalia, Rodentia, Cricetidae. The record is from Ensembl.
AUGCUCACUUCAGCAGCACAUAUACUAAAACAAUUUGAAACAAAACAGAUGAUUAGGAUAGCCCCUACUCAAGGAUGACACCCAAAUUUGUGAACUGUUCUGUAUUUUU